Molecule: ribosomal RNA, 429 nt
Filed under: Chloroflexota bacterium
Lineage: Bacteria; Bacillati; Chloroflexota
Description: Chloroflexi bacterium partial 16S ribosomal RNA
Rfam family: Bacterial small subunit ribosomal RNA
Source: RNAcentral
UGGGGAAUAUUGCACAAUGGGCGCAAGCCUGAUGCAGCCAUGCCGCGUGUGUGAAGAAGGCCUUCGGGUUGUAAAGCACUUUCAGCGGGGAGGAAGGCGAUAAGGUUAAUAACCUUGUCGAUUGACGUUACCCGCAGAAGAAGCACCGGCUAACUCCGUGCCAGCAGCCGCGGUAAUACGGAGGGUGCAAGCGUUAAUCGGAAUUACUGGGCGUAAAGCGCACGCAGGCGGUUGAUUGAGUCAGAUGUGAAAUCCCCGGGCUUAACCCGGGACUUGCAUCUGAUACUGGUCAGCUAGAGUCUUGUAGAGGGGGGUAGAAUUCCAUGUGUAGCGGUGAAAUGCGUAGAGAUGUGGAGGAAUACCGGUGGCGAAGGCGGCCCCCUGGACAAAGACUGACGCUCAGGUGCGAAAGCGUGGGGAGCAAACAGG